AAGCACAAUGCAUGUUCACCUGAUCCUCCUCAUCCAAACUUUAUUCUUUGAGCUCUGGUUUUGCUGAAGCAUAAACCAGAAGAGAAAAGGGGCGUGUCUAGAGGAAGCAGUGACGGCCAGAUGAAGCCAGAUGAAGCUUCAUGAAGCAGUGAAGCUUUCCAUCAGAUUGUGUCACACACGGCCGAAGCUUCAUGGUGCUUCAUUUGCUCCACUGCGCCACCAAGUGGUCAAUGCAUGAAAUGACACCAUGGCUUUGGUGUGUGAAGCGUUGAAUUGGAUAAAUGAAUGAUGUUUGUGACGCGUGAUACAUAACUUAUGAACGUAUUAAUACGGUGUCUGUCUUUAUGAUACAAUGGCGGGGUCAAAAGGGAAAGUGGAGACAUAUUGUGAUGUGAAAAGUAAAAGAAUAAAACAUGCAAAGAUGGAA
Molecule: long non-coding RNA, 427 nt
Organism: Gasterosteus aculeatus aculeatus (three-spined stickleback)
Lineage: Eukaryota; Metazoa; Chordata; Actinopteri; Perciformes; Gasterosteidae
Source: Ensembl